This 253-nucleotide ribosomal RNA is filed under the name uncultured bacterium. Its description in RNAcentral is "partial 16S ribosomal RNA". It matches the Rfam family "Bacterial small subunit ribosomal RNA", at positions 524 to 776 of the family's 1533-position model. The record is from RNAcentral.
UACGUAGGUGGCGAGCGUUGUCCGGAUUUACUGGGCGUAAAGGGCGUGCAGGCGGUCUGUUAAGUCUAGGGUGAAAGCUCCCGGCUCAACUGGGAGAGGUCCUUGGAUACUGGCGGACUUGAGGGAGACAGAGGAGAGUGGAAUUCCCGGUGUAGUGGUGAUAUGCGUAGAUAUCGGGAGGAACACCAGUGGCGAAGGCGGCUCUCUGGGACGUGACUGACGCUGAGACGCGAAAGCGUGGGGAGCGAACAGG